This 301-nucleotide ribosomal RNA is filed under the name uncultured bacterium. Its description in RNAcentral is "partial 16S ribosomal RNA". It matches the Rfam family "Bacterial small subunit ribosomal RNA", at positions 512 to 810 of the family's 1533-position model. The record is from RNAcentral.
CAGUCGCGGUAAUACGAAGGGGGCUAGCGUUGCUCGGAAUGACUGGGCGUAAAGGGCGCGUAGGCGGCGAUCAAAGUCAGGCGUGAAAUUCCUGGGCUCAACCUGGUGGCUGCGCUUGAUACUUGGUUGCUUGAGUGGGGAAGAGGGUCGUGGAAUUCCCAGUGUAGAGGUGAAAUUCGUAGAUACUGGGAAGAACACCGGUGGCGAAGGCGGCGACCUGGUCCUUGACUGACGCUGAGGCGCGAAAGCGCGGGGAGCAAACAGGAUUAGAUACCCCAGUAGUCCCUGUCUCUUAUACACA